Molecule: ribosomal RNA, 254 nt
Filed under: uncultured bacterium
Lineage: Bacteria
Description: partial 16S ribosomal RNA
Rfam family: Bacterial small subunit ribosomal RNA
Source: RNAcentral
UACGAAGGGGGCUAGCGUUGCUCGGAAUCACUGGGCGUAAAGCGCACGUAGGCGGACUCUUAAGUCGGUGGUGAAAUCCUGGAGCUCAACUCCAGAACUGCCUUCGAUACUGGGAGUCUUCGAGUCCGGGGGAGGUGAGUGGAACUGCGAGUGUAGAGGUGAAAUUCGUAGAUAUUCGCAAGAACACCAGUGGCGAAGGCGGCUCACUGGCCCGGUACUGACGCUGAGGUGCGAAAGCGUGGGGAGCAAACAGG